CACCAGACUCCUACGGGAGGCAGCAGUGGGGAAUAUUGCACAAUGGGGGGAACCCUGAUGCAGCGACGCCGCGUGGGUGAAGGAGUAUUUCGGUAUGUAAAGCCCUAUCAGCAGGGAAGAACAAUGACGGUACCUGACUAAGAAGCACCGGCUAAAUACGUGCCAGCAGCCGCGGUAAUACGUAUGGUGCAAGCGUUAUCCGGAUUUACUGGGUUUAAAGGGUGCGCAGGCGGCACGGCAAGCCGGCGGUAAAACCGCGGGGCUCACCCCCGCCCAGCCGUCGGAACUGCCGGGCUAGAGUGGGCGAGAAGUGCGCGGAAUGCGUGGUGUAGCGGUGAAAUGCAUAGAUAUCACGCAGAACUCCGAUUGCGAAGGCAGCGCACCGGCGCCCUACUGACGCUCAGGCACGAAAGCGUGGGUAUCGAACAGGAUUAGAUACCCCCGUA
RNAcentral lists this ribosomal RNA (446 nucleotides) under uncultured bacterium. RNAcentral's name for it is "partial 16S ribosomal RNA". It matches the Rfam family "Bacterial small subunit ribosomal RNA", at positions 329 to 792 of the family's 1533-position model. The record is from RNAcentral.